UUCUAGAGAGAGAAAUUCCUCUCUAAGUCCUGGAGCAACUCCAUUGCACCACCUGGUUAGGGCUACAUGCAGCCUGGAGCUUACCCUGGCCUAUCGCCUCAUUAUAAUAUGGCUCAGCCACAUGAUGCAGGAUAUCCCACCAACUGGAAUCAGUCUAAUGUCUUUGCCAGUCAGCAGUGUGGUCAGGGUUAUGAUUACUGUAAUCAUGCUAGCCUCUUCACAACAAAAACCAACCCUUGGUG
This 242-nucleotide unclassified non-coding RNA is filed under the name Hevea brasiliensis (rubber tree). The record is from RNAcentral. Lineage: Eukaryota; Viridiplantae; Streptophyta; Magnoliopsida; Malpighiales; Euphorbiaceae.